GAUGAACGCUGGCGGCGUGCUUAACACAUGCAAGUCGGGCGAAGCGCUUAUGAAAGAUUCUUCGGAUGAUUUCAUUUGUGACUGAGCGGCGGACGGGUGAGUAACGCGUGGGUAACCUGCCUCAUACAGGGGGAUAACAGUUGGAAACGACUGCUAAUACCGCAUAAGCGCACAGUACCGCAUGGUACCGUGUGAAAAACUCCGGUGGUAUGAGAUGGACCCGCGUCUGAUUAGCUAGUUGGUGGGGUAACGGCCUACCAAGGCGACGAUCAGUAGCCGACCUGAGAGGGUGACCGGCCACAUUGGGACUGAGACACGGCCCAAACUCCUACGGGAGGCAGCAGUGGGGAAUAUUGCACAAUGGGGGAAACCCUGAUGCAGCAACGCCGCGUGAGUGAAGAAGUAUUUCGGUAUGUAAAGCUCUAUCAGCAGGGAAGAAAAUGACGGUACCUGACUAAGAAGCCCCG
Molecule: ribosomal RNA, 467 nt
Filed under: uncultured bacterium
Lineage: Bacteria
Description: bacterial SSU rRNA
Rfam family: Bacterial small subunit ribosomal RNA
Source: RNAcentral